GAUGAAGAACGUAGCGAAAUGCGAUAAGUAGUGUGAUUUGCAGAAUUCAGUGAAUCAUCGAAUCUUUGAACGCACAUUGCGCCCCUUGGUAUCCCGAGGGGCAUGCCUGUUCGAGCGUCAUUUCACCACUCAAGCCUGGCUUGGUGUUGGGCGACGUCCUCUUUGGGGACGCGCCUCGAAACGCUCGGCGGCGUGGCACCGGCUUUAAGCGUAGCAGAAUCUUUCGCUUGGAAGUCGGGGCCCCGUCUGCCGGAAGACCUGCUCGCAAGGUUGACCUCGGAUCAGGCAGGGAUACCCGCUGAACUUAAGCAUAUCAAUAAGCGGAGGA
RNAcentral lists this unclassified non-coding RNA (328 nucleotides) under soil metagenome. Its description in RNAcentral is "partial contains 5.8S ribosomal RNA, internal transcribed spacer 2, and large subunit ribosomal RNA". The stretch from base 1 to 120 matches the Rfam family "5.8S ribosomal RNA", at positions 35 to 154 of the family's 154-position model. The record is from RNAcentral.